GGAUAAGAGCGUCUGCUAAAUGACGUAAAUGUAAAAAAAAUGUAAAUGUUUAUGCCCUCAUUUGCAAUGCAAACCCGGGCGGCAGUGUGUUUUGGGUCAUUGUCUGCAUUUGGAGAAGAAAAAAAGACAUUUAGCCUAACUGCCAAAAUUAGGUACAAUAAUAGAAAUACACAUGGAAAUAGGCCUAAACGUAACAAAAUAUUGCUGUAAUCCUACCUUGAAAGAAAAGAUGUGUACCCAGAAACACCUAUCUGACAUGGGGUCCAGCAUAUCUCUUGAUGAUUUCUUCCUCAAAGAAAUCUCGAGCCAUGAUACCUGAAAAAGGAGGCAGGAGUGAAUUAUUGUGGAACACAUAACAGUCCGUGAGGUGUAGGCUACACUUUUUUAUGUAUCUUUAGCUUUGUAAAUAGCCAAACUUACCAUCAAAAAUCAAAUAUGGGCCUGCUCCCUGGCGAGAAAUUGCCCCCACACAUGGAGUUUGAGCGGAUGCUUGGGACUCGGCUUGCUUGAUCUUCUUUCUUUUUUUCUAUAGCAGUUUUGUGCUGUGAUGCCAGGAGAUUGAAUAUAAGCAAGUGAUGUCUGCUAAAUAAUCUAGUUAGGUUUCUCCAGAAAUAAGUCAUUCUAAUUAACAAACUGGCUUCAUUUACAAAUUAGUGAGAAUCUCACCCCAUGUUCAAGAGUUGCUUUUUCUCAUUCACUCUAGGUUAAACCAAGAUGGCGUAGCAGUUGGACGUGUGUUUUGUCUUGUCCCAUGUAAAUAUUGUUUUUCUUUCGUAUAUAUUUUAAUAUCACUUUCCAUCUAUGGACUGAAUAUACUCUCCUGCAACCCGCCUCACCCAAUGUGGUACGGAUCUGCUCUUUUUUAUAAUUAAGAACCGGAACCCCCAUCAAAGCUAGCCAGCUAACUGGCUACUAGCUAAUAGUCAGUUAGCCUUUGCUAGGCCCAUCUGCUAGGCCCAUCUCCCGGCUAGCCGAAGAGGCACAUCAGCCACUCUUUGGGCUACAAUACCUGGACCCCCGCCAACCCAUCACGACUGGACUACCGACGUAAUUCUGCCCGAGGGUUUUUUUCAAUUGACUCCUCCAUCGAGACGUCCCCUGUAUGCCCACCCGCUAGCAUGCUAGCCGCGGCCUGCUAGCUGUCUAGAGCACAUUGGACUGUUAGCUUAAGAGGCCCAUCGGACAAAUUAUUUGGCCUCUAUACCUAUUUUGCCAAUUGGCCUGGUUUACUACAUGGAGCCCUGCUAAUCCAUCUGCCAACGUCACAGCACGAGGGGGCCACAACAACUAACAUUGCUACGUCCCUCAAAGGCUCUUCUGCUAGCUUGUUAGCCCCGGCCCGCUAGCUGCCUGAAGCCACUCACUGGACUCCUAUGAUCACUUGGCUACACAUGCCUCUCACUAACGUCAAUACGCCUUGUCCAUUGCAAUUUUGCACACUCUGCCAACCCGGAUGUCCUAGCCGUGUCUGAAGACCACCAAAAACCCUGACAUUUCCAUCCCUGACUAUAACAUUUUCCGAGGAAUAGCCUGCAGAGUUCUGUCUUACUAUCCAGGUCUGUGCCCAAACAAUUUGAGCUUCUACUUUUAAAAAUCCACCUCUCUAGAAACACAUCUCUUACCGUUGCCGCUUGCUAUAGACCACCUUCUGCCCCCAGCUGUGCCCUGGACACCAUAUGCGAAUUGAUUGCCCCCAUCUAUCUUCAGAGCUCGUGCUGUUAGGUGACCUAAACUGGGACAUGCUUAACACCUGGAAAUCCUACAAUCUAAGCUUGAUGCUCUCAAUCUCACACAAAUUAUCAAUGAUCC
This 1809-nucleotide long non-coding RNA is filed under the name Salmo salar (Atlantic salmon). RNAcentral's name for it is "lncRNA (ENSSSAG00000081953.1, ENSSSAG00075018464.1)". Lineage: Eukaryota; Metazoa; Chordata; Actinopteri; Salmoniformes; Salmonidae. The record is from RNAcentral.